AUUAAAAGCUCACUUCACUUCUAAACUAAAGCAUUCUUCAAACUUAGUAUAGGCGAUAGAAAAGUCCCAUUUGGCGCGAUAGAGAUUUUUGUACCGUAAGGGAAAGAUGAAAUAAUAAUGAAAACCUAAGCGAUAAACAGCAAAGAUAAACCCUUGUACCUCUUGCAUCAUGAUUUAGCGAGAACAACCAAGCAAAAUGAACUUAAGCUUGCCCUCCCGAAACCCAAGCGAGCUACUCACGAGCAGCUAUGACUGAGCGAACCCAUCUCUGUUGCAAAAGAGUGGGAUGACUUGUUAGUAGUGGUGAAAAGCCAAUCGAGCUGGGUGAUAGCUGGUUGCCUGUGAAAUGAAUCUAAGUUCUUCCUUAAUCCUCCUCCACGGACACCUACAAGCCCUCAUGUAAAGGACUAAGAGAAAUUUAAAGGAGGUACAGCUCCUUUAAAAAAGAAUACAACCUCCACUAGCGGAUAACUCCCACCAACUUCCACUAGAUUGUGGGCCUUUAAGCAGCCACCAGUAAAGAGUGCGUCAAAGCUCUAUACUUAAAAAUCUAAAAACAACAUGACUCCCUUAUCCUUAACAGGCUAACCUAUCACAAUAGGAGAAUUUAUGCUAAAAUGAGUAACUAGGGUCUUUCCCCUCUCAAGCGCAAGCUUACAUCCGCACAUUAUUAACAGGCUUCACUAAUACUACAACUUAAACAAGAUUAGGUAUUAACCACCCCUGUUAACCCAACUCAGGAGCGCCUACUAGAAAGAUUAAAAUCUGCAAAAGGAACUAGGCAAACCCAGGGCCCGACUGUUUACCAAAAACAUAGCCUUCAGCCAUCCAAGUAUUGAAGGUGAUGCCUGCCCAGUGACAUUACGUUUAACGGCCGCGGUAUCCUAACCGUGCGAAGGUAGCGCAAUCAAUUGUCCCAUAAAUCGAGACUUGUAUGAAUGGCUAAACGAGGUCCUAACUGUCUCUUGCAGAUAAUCAGUGAAAUUGAUCUUCCUGUGCAAAAGCAGGAAUACACACAUAAGACGAGAAGACCCUGUGGAACUUAAAAAUCAGUGGCCACCGCACAUACUCCUAAACCUACCAGGCUUAUUAUCAUCAAAACAUUGGCUCACAUUUUUUGGUUGGGGCGACCUUGGAGAAAAACAGAUCCUCCAAAAAUAAGACAACCAAUCUUAACCAAGAGCAACCCCUCAACGUACUAACAGUAACCAGACCCAAUACAAUUGAUUAAUGGACCAAGCUACCCCAGGGAUAACAGCGCAAUCUCCCUCAAGAGCCCAUAUCGACAGGGAGGUUUACGACCUCGAUGUUGGAUCAGGACAUCCUAAUGGUGCAGCCGCUAUUAAGGGUUCGUUUGUUCAACGAUUAACAGUCCUACGUGAUCUGAGUUCAGACCGGAGCAAUCCAGGUCGGUUUCUAUCUAUGACAAACUUCCCCUAGUACGAAAGGACCGGGAAAGUGAGGCCAAUACCACAAGCACGCCUCCCCUUUAAGUAAUGUACACAACUAAAUUGC
Molecule: ribosomal RNA, 1515 nt
Filed under: Eudocimus ruber
Lineage: Eukaryota; Metazoa; Chordata; Aves; Pelecaniformes; Threskiornithidae
Description: 16S ribosomal RNA
Rfam family: Bacterial large subunit ribosomal RNA
Source: RNAcentral